Molecule: ribosomal RNA, 501 nt
Filed under: uncultured eukaryote
Lineage: Eukaryota
Description: SSU rRNA
Rfam family: Eukaryotic small subunit ribosomal RNA
Source: RNAcentral
UGUAGUCAUAUGCUUGUCUCAAAGAUUAGGCCAUGCAUGUCUAAGUAUAAAUAACUACACAGUAAAACUGCGAAUGGCUCAUUAAAACAGUUAUAGUUUAUUUGAUACAUUAAAUGGAUAACUGUAGAAAAACUAGAGCUAAUACAUGCCAAAACCGCAAGGUUGUAUUUAUUAGAUAUACCAAUUAGGUGAAUCAUAAUAACUUCGCAAAUCGCAGCUCGUCUGCGAUAAAUCAUUCAAGUUUCUGCCCUAUCAUGCUUUCGAUGGUAGUGUAUUGGACUACCAUGGCUCUCACGGGUAACGGGGAAUUAGGGUUCGAUUCCGGAGAAGGAGCCUGAGAAACGGCUACUACAUCUAGGGAAGGCAGCAGGCGCGUAAAUUACCCAAUCCUGACUCAGGGAGGUAGUGACAAGAUAUAACGACGCGACUAAAAAUCGCGAUUGUAGUGAGGGUAUUCUAAACCGAACCACUAGUACGAUUGGAGGGCAAGUCUGGUAAUCG